RNAcentral lists this ribosomal RNA (503 nucleotides) under uncultured bacterium. RNAcentral's name for it is "partial 16S ribosomal RNA". It matches the Rfam family "Bacterial small subunit ribosomal RNA", at positions 29 to 506 of the family's 1533-position model. The record is from RNAcentral.
ACGCACGCUGGCGGCGUGCCUAAUCCAUGCAAGUAGAACGCACAGUUUAUACCGUAGCUUGCUACACCAUAGACUGUGAGUUGCGAACGGGUGAGUAACGCGUAGGUAACCUGCCUGGUAGCGGGGGAUAACUAUUGGAAACGAUAGCUAAUACCGCAUAAUAUUAAUUAUUGCAUGAUAAUUAAUUGAAAGGUGCAAUUGCACCACUACCAGAUGGACCUGCGUUGUAUUAGCUAGUAGGUGAGGUAACGGCUCACCUAGGCGACGAUACAUAGCCGACCUGAGAGGGUGAUCGGCCACACUGGGACUGAGACACGGCCCAGACUCCUACGGGAGGCAGCAGUAGGGAAUCUUCGGCAAUGGACGAAAGUCUGACCGAGCAACGCCGCGUGAGUGAAGAAGGUUUUCGGAUCGUAAAGCUCUGUUGUAAGAGAAGAACGGGUGUGAGAGUGGAAAGUUCACACUGGGACGGUAUCUUACCAGAAAGGGACGGCUAACUACGU